GGGCCCAUAGCUCAGGUGGUAGAGCUACCGGCUCAUAACCGGUUGGUUCCAGGUUCGAGUCCUGGUGGGCCCA
This 73-nucleotide transfer RNA is filed under the name Pseudomonadota bacterium. Its description in RNAcentral is "tRNA-Ile". It matches the Rfam family "tRNA". Rfam says of the family: Transfer RNA (tRNA) molecules are approximately 80 nucleotides in length. The record is from RNAcentral. Lineage: Bacteria; Pseudomonadati; Pseudomonadota. RNAcentral also lists the same sequence under 3 other names.